CAAUAAGCGGAGGAAAAGAAACUAACAAGGAUUCCCCUAGUAACGGCGAGUGAAGAGGGAAAAGCUCAAAUUUAAAAUCUGGCGGUCUACGGCCGUCCGAGUUGUAAUUUAGAGAGGUGUUUUCCGCGUCGGACCACACACAAGUCCUUUGGGAUAAGGCUUCAUAGAGGGUGAGAAUCCCGUACAUGGUGUGGACUACCGGGGCUAUGUGAUGCACCCUCGAAGAGUCGAGUUGUUUGGGAAUGCAGCUCAAAAUGGGUGGUAAAUUCCAUCUAAAGCUAAAUAUUGGGGAGAGACCGAUAGCGCACAAGUACCGUGAGGGAAAGAUGAAAAGCACUUUGGAAAGAGAGUUAAACAGUACGUGAAAUUGCUGAAAGGGAAACGCUUGGAGUCAGUCGCGUCUUCUUGGACUCAGCCGUGGUUCUCCGCGGUGUACUUCUGGGAAGAUGGGCCAACAUCGAUUUUGUUCGCCGUACAAAGGCGGGAGGAAUGUGGCAUCUCUCGGGAUGUGUUAUAGCCUCUCGUUGCAUGCGGUGGGUGGGAUCGAGGAACGCAGCGCGCCCGCAAGGGUUGGGAUUCGUCCACAUACGCGCUUCGGAUGUUGGCGUAAUGGCUUUAAACGACCCGUCUUGA
This 633-nucleotide ribosomal RNA is filed under the name Myxarium mesonucleatum. RNAcentral's name for it is "eukaryotic LSU rRNA". It matches the Rfam family "Eukaryotic large subunit ribosomal RNA", at positions 44 to 657 of the family's 3401-position model. The record is from RNAcentral. Lineage: Eukaryota; Fungi; Basidiomycota; Agaricomycetes; Auriculariales; Hyaloriaceae.